This 445-nucleotide ribosomal RNA is filed under the name uncultured bacterium. Its description in RNAcentral is "partial 16S ribosomal RNA". It matches the Rfam family "Bacterial small subunit ribosomal RNA", at positions 354 to 796 of the family's 1533-position model. The record is from RNAcentral.
GUGAGGAAUAUUGGACAAUGGGCGCAAGCCUGAUCCAGCCAUGCCGCGUGCAGGAAGACGCAUCUAUGGUGUGUAAACUGCUUUUGUACGGGAAGAAACACUCCCUCGUGAGGGAGCUUGACGGUACCGUAAGAAUAAGGAUCGGCUAACUCCGUGCCAGCAGCCGCGGUAAUACGGAGGAUCCAAGCGUUAUCCGGAAUCAUUGGGUUUAAAGGGUCCGUAGGCGGUUUAAUAAGUCAGUGGUGAAAGCCCAUCGCUCAACGAUGGAACGGCCAUUGAUACUGUUAGACUUGAAUUACAAGGAAGUAACUGGAAUAUGUAGUGUAGCGGUGAAAUGCUUAGAUAUUACAUGGAAUACCAAUUGCGAAGGCAGGUUACUACUUGUGGAUUGACGCUGAUGGACGAAAGCGUGGGGAGCGAACAGGAUUAGAAACCCCGGUAGUCC